RNAcentral lists this ribosomal RNA (429 nucleotides) under Bacillota bacterium. Its description in RNAcentral is "Firmicutes bacterium partial 16S ribosomal RNA". It matches the Rfam family "Bacterial small subunit ribosomal RNA", at positions 355 to 776 of the family's 1533-position model. The record is from RNAcentral. Lineage: Bacteria; Bacillati; Bacillota.
UGGGGAAUUUUGGACAAUGGGGGCAACCCUGAUCCAGCAAUGCCGCGUGUGUGAGGAAGGUCUUCGGGUUGUAAAGCACUUUUGUACGGGAAGAAAUCCUUUUCGAUAAUACCUAAGUGGGAUGACGGUACCGGUAGAAUAAGCACCGGCUAACUACGUGCCAGCAGCCGCGGUAAUACGUAGGGUGCGAGCGUUCAUCGGAAUUACUGGGCGUAAAGCGUGCGCAGGCGGGGAUGUAAGACCGAGGUGAAAUCCCCGGGCUUAACCUGGGAACUGCAUUGGUGACUGCAUCGCUUGAGUAGGGCAGAGAGGGGUAGAAUUCCACGUGUAGCAGUGAAAUGCGUAGAGAUGUGGAGGAAUACCGGUGGCGAAGGCAGCCCCCUGGGCCAAUACUGACGCUCAUGCACGAAAGCGUGGGGAGCAAACAGG